This is a microRNA precursor of Felis catus (domestic cat), 52 nucleotides long. It matches the Rfam family "mir-1302 microRNA precursor family". The record is from Rfam. NCBI's taxonomy places the organism in Eukaryota, Metazoa, Chordata, Mammalia, Carnivora, Felidae.
UUUUCAGUAAAAGUAUAUCCCAUGCAAUAUUUGGGAUAUACUUAUACUAAAA